Phrynosoma platyrhinos (Desert horned lizard) is the source of this 72-nucleotide non-coding RNA. The record is from the annotation of a GenBank genome assembly. NCBI's taxonomy places the organism in Eukaryota, Metazoa, Chordata, Lepidosauria, Squamata, Phrynosomatidae.
GCCAGCGUAACAUAGUGGUUUGAGUGUCGGACUGCAAAUCUGGAGACAAGGGUUCGAUUCCCAGCUCAGCCA